UUAUAAUCACAGGGGAGCUAGUGUUGCUAGCUGAGAGUAAGGACUAAAUUCUUAGACCCUUUAACCUGAUCUGGAUAAUGCCAGCGUAGGAAGAUGGUUUUAUGAUUUUU
This 110-nucleotide non-coding RNA is filed under the name Clostridium tetanomorphum. Its description in RNAcentral is "TPP sequence". It matches the Rfam family "TPP riboswitch aptamer (THI element)". From Rfam's summary of the family: Vitamin B(1) in its active form thiamin pyrophosphate (TPP) is an essential coenzyme that is synthesised by coupling of pyrimidine and thiazole moieties in bacteria. Lineage: Bacteria; Bacillati; Bacillota; Clostridia; Eubacteriales; Clostridiaceae. The record is from Rfam by way of RNAcentral.